UUUUGGAGGUUUUUUGGUAUGGCAAAAUACACAUACAUUUUAUACUAUUUCAAAGAUAAAUUUUCUUAAAGCAAGUAUUGAUCCAACAUAGUAGUCAUUUUUUUCAAGUUAAAAUUUAUUUCUAUUGCCUUUCUUAAAAUUAAACUUUGGAUAUAAUUGUAGAUUCAUAUGCACUUUUAAGAAAUAAUAGAGAAAGCCCAGUUACCCUUGUGAGCCCAAAAGUAUCUGAGAUAGGUCUCGAUCAAUUUCAAAAGUUUUUUUUGCCAAGGUUAAGGAUGCACUAGUGACACAGCCUCAGGAUGUCCUGACAAUAUGUGCCCAAGGAGGUUGGGGAACAGCUUGCUUUUUAUGCAUUUUAGGGAGGCAUAAUACAUCAGUCAAUACAUGUAAGAUUUACAUUGGUUUGAGCUGGAAAGGCCAGACAACUCAAAGCAGAGGCUUCCAGGUCACAGGUUAGAUUUAAACAUUUUCUGAUCAGCAGUUGGUUGAAAGAGUUAUUAUCAAUAGGAAGGAAUGUCUGGGUUACCAUAAGGGGUUGUGAAGACUAGGGUUUUAUCAUACAGAUGAAGCCUUCAAGUAGCAGGCUUCAGAGAGAACAGAAUGUAAAUGUUUCUUAUCAUAUUUAAGGUCUGUGUUGAUGGUAAUGCUAGUUGGCUUUUACUGAAUUCCAAAAGGAAGGAGGGUAUACUGAGAAUGAGCCAUAGCCAACUCCCCCUUCCCAUCAUGGCCUGAACUAGCUUUUCAGGAUAACUUUGGAAUCCCCCUGGCUAUUUGGAUCGUUGGGGGGGCCUUAGAAUUUUAUUCUUGGUUUGCACUCUUUACCUUAGACACUUACCCCUAGUGAUAACAUCUUGCCAAACUGUAGUAAAAA
Long non-coding RNA from Sapajus apella (tufted capuchin), 871 nucleotides. RefSeq lists it as uncharacterized. The record is from RefSeq and is a predicted model, not a curated record. The transcript is spliced from 2 exons. Lineage: Eukaryota; Metazoa; Chordata; Mammalia; Primates; Cebidae.